AAAGAGUAACGGAGGAGUACGAAGGUGCGCUCAGACCGGUCGGAAAUCGGUCGUAGAGUAUAAAGGCAAAAGCGCGCUUGACUGCGAGACAAACACGUCGAGCAGGUACGAAAGUAGGUCUUAGUGAUCCGGUGGUUCUGUAUGGAAGGGCCAUCGCUCAACGGAUAAAAGGUACUCCGGGGAUAACAGGCUGAUACCGCCCAAGAGUUCAUAUCGACGGCGGUGUUUGGCACCUCGAUGUCGGCUCAUCACAUCCUGGGGCUGAAGCCGGUCCCAAGGGUAUGGCUGUUCGCCAUUUAAAGUGGUACGCGAGCUGGGUUUAGAACGUCGUGAGACAGUUCGGUCCCUAUCUGCCGUGGACGUUUGAGAUUUGAGAGGGGCUGCUCCUAGUACGAGAGGACCGGAGUGGACGAACCUCUGGUGUUCCGGUUGUCACGCCAGUGGCAUUGCCGGGUAGCUAUGUUCGGAAGAGAUAACCGCUGAAAGCAUCUAAGCGGGAAACUUGCCUCAAGAUGAGAUCUCACUGGGAUCUUGAAUCCCCUGAAGGGCCGUCGAAGACUACGACGUUGAUAGGUUGGGUGUGUAAGCGCUGUGAGGCGUUGAGCUAACCAAUACUAAUUGCCCGUGAGGCUUGACCAUAUAACACCCAAGCAAUU
This 656-nucleotide ribosomal RNA is filed under the name Pseudomonas putida. RNAcentral describes it as "bacterial LSU rRNA". It matches the Rfam family "Bacterial large subunit ribosomal RNA", at positions 2292 to 2925 of the family's 2925-position model. Lineage: Bacteria; Pseudomonadati; Pseudomonadota; Gammaproteobacteria; Pseudomonadales; Pseudomonadaceae. The record is from RNAcentral.